This is a long non-coding RNA of Rhinolophus ferrumequinum (greater horseshoe bat), 2001 nucleotides long. RefSeq lists it as uncharacterized. NCBI's taxonomy places the organism in Eukaryota, Metazoa, Chordata, Mammalia, Chiroptera, Rhinolophidae. The transcript is spliced from 5 exons. The record is from RefSeq and is a predicted model, not a curated record.
AUGAGAAGUAGCUAAGCCAGGACAGCCAGGGUGCUGGUGCCUGGGUACUCUGACCGGACUGUAUAUAUAAACUCACCUUAGACCUCUGCUCUGCGAAUCUGGUGUCCCAACGAGGAAGGCCUUCUUAAUGGUUGCUCUCAAAUUCAUGGGAAUUGAAUGGGACGAAAUUUUUCUUGGCAUUCUCUAAUAUUUUCUCACUUUCUGGCAGAUUUUUCCACCAGAAGAGCGGAGAGUGAAGGGAGCAGAGGAAAUCUCACAUGCAUUUGGAUUUCACACAUGCCUACUUAUACAAGAGCUCAGAGAAAAAAGCAUCCAGCACGGGAGCUACAGGUCCUGUGGCUCGCUGCCCCUGCCACUGCCAAGUGUACGACAGAAGGUCAUACCGAAUGUCGCUAGUCCGGGAAAAGAUCAUUCCACAUGCGAAGUCUGUCUUGAGGGCAUACUACAGAGUGUUGGAGAGAGGCCACCAAUUCCGAAGGCUCCAGGACCAAGAAAGUGACACAUCAGGAGAUUAGACCAGACCUCUAUGCCUUGAUCAGGUUGAAAAUAUGCUGGCACAGCCAGCAUCAGCUCCAGCCAAGUCAUGGAUGUGCAGAGGGGCCCCGCAGUACGGAAUGCAAAGCAACUUUAGAAAGAGCUCAGAGAGAUGACGGAAGUUACCCAAGGUCACACAUCAAUGAGUGUUAGAGCUGAGAUUCAAACCUAACUCUGAUAUGAAAUCCCAAACCCUCUUCAGUAUACCAAGAAUUUGCUUUGGAAAAUGCUUUAGAAUUUUGGAAUGUAAUAUAGUUUUUGAAAGAUGUUCUUAUUUUUUAGUUUAUUUCUAAAAUAGGCAUGUAAUUCCCUCUCAUUAUGAGAGACUACAAUGGCUCAAAAUCCAUUUCAACAAAGUUCAUGAAACUCCAAGUGCUGCGUGUUAAUCGAAGGUUGAAUGAGUAUUUAAGAGUUGUAAUUUCUAAAUGAUUUUGCUAGUCUUAUCAAAAGCAGAAGGGCAAUAAUUCACACAAUCAUCAUUGAUUUCAAGUGAAAAUUUUUCGUCUUUUGUUUGGCUUCUUGGCCACUUUUCAGGGCUUCCUGCAGUCCAUUUAACAGAAAAUGAAGCUUAAAGCCAAUAAAAAAAGGGGAAAAAAAUAUUGGGCUCAUGGAGAUGUCGAGUGGGUGCAGGUGGUAAAUGGAGCUUAGGAAAUAAUGACCAAAUAUGUGUGAGAGUUAGUAAUAUUCCAUUUCCGCACAGCCCCCCCACCCCAACCCCUAGCCAAAAACCUUAUUGCCCUCAUAUCACGCUUUAUCCUUUACUCCUGGGUAGUUAGGUUAAUUCCAAUUGCCCUUAGGCUCAUUAUGUGUGACUCUAAGAAUAGGGGUUCCAUUCUUGAAACAUAGAAUUUGCUGGCAUUGAGAUUAAUUUCCAAGGCAACACUGAUGCUGUGAGACGCAGUUAAAUUGCGGGAUGUUCCAUGAGAGACGAGCAGGACAAAGGGCACGCCUACAUUAACAACAAACAAACAAACAGACAAACAAAACAGAAACUCAGAGUUGGAUGAAUCCUUGUGUUCCAAAUCUGUUCCAAAUUUUAUCACUUAAAACUGAGACUAUGAAGUAAUUUUUCCAAGUUCACAGAGCUGGUAGGUGGCUGAGCUUGUAUGCAAAUCCAUGGCUAUAUUUUAAUGACUAGCUUACAUUGUUUGGCUUUGAGCAAUUAACUUCUCUAGGAUUCCAUUUUGUUAUCUAGAAAAUGAGGAUGAUAACACCGAACUGAUGUGCAUUAGUGAGGAGUAGAUGACAUGUAUGUGAAGUGUGGAGCUGAGGGCCUGGGAAGCAGGAACUGGGAAAGUAGGGAGGGAGCCUGGGAGCCGUUACUGAGGUUGUAACCUCAGCAGCAACUGUUCAGUGGUAAUGGAAUUUGGGGUAGAAUCCGUGCCUGAAAUUCAGGCAUUAGUGCUCAGCUGAAUGCCCUUUCCAAUAAACCAGGUUUUAAUUCCCUCAAACAAAAUUUACUAUUUG